GCAGCUCACCCGAACAAAGUCUUAGCUAUUGAUUUCACAACACUGGAACCCUCUGCUUCAGGGGUGGAGCAUGUGCUGGUAAUGACCGUCGUGUUUACUAAGUACACUGUGCCAUCCCCACAAGGGAUCAGCGGGCUAAUACUGUAGCCCAAGUUCUAGUGUUAGAAUGGUUUUAUAGGUUUGGGGUGCCGGCCCGGAUCCAUUCGGACCAGGGUCGGAGUUUUGAGUCUUUACUCCUUCAUCAGCUCUGUGACCUCUAUGGGGUCCGGAAGUCCCGCACCACCCCUUAUCACCCAGAGGGUAAUGGCCAGUGCGAGCGGUUCAACCACACUUUGCAUGGCCUCCUGCGCACUCUGCCUGUGACUAAGAAACGGGAUUGGGUGUCCUGUCUUCCUCAGCUGUUAUUCUGUUAUAACACCACCCCCCAUCAAGCCACAGGGGAGAGUCCUCACUUCCUUAUGUUUGGGCAAGAGCCGCGCCUCCCGAUCGACUUCCUACUGGGUCGGGUGCAGGAACCAGGGGUUGGAAGAGUGCAUGAUUGGAUCCUUCAACACCAGUCCCGUCUCCAGGUAGGCUUUGAGGGAGCCCAGGAGCGAUUGCGGAUAGCUGCUGAUCGCUGGAAGGCCCACCAUGAACAAUAUGUCCAUGGCACACCACUGGUGCAGGGUCAACAGGUGUCGCAAUGUGAGUGUGAGAGGGAGACAUAAAAUCCAGGACCUGUGGAGCCCAGUAGUGUACCAGGUGGUUAGGGCACCGGCAGCAGGGGGUGCAGUGUACACUAUAGCCCCCAUAGAGGACCCAUCGCAGCAGAGGCAAGUUCACCGCACUCUCUUGAAGGCAAGGGUGGAAAGGGGCCACCCUGAACUAAGCCCAUGUACCAGGAGAUCAUUGAUGGCUACACCCUCCUCACCUCCCCAUGAGGUUUGCGAGGGUGAUUUGUUUGUGCUGGUCCCAGAACAGUCACGAGCAUCCACAUCUCAGUUGGAAGCGAACCCUGAUCCACCUGAAACAGUCCCCGGUGCAGCGAUGGUGGCUGUCUCUGAGGAGCAGCAACCGUCUGCCUCAGAGUGGCAAAUGGCCUCUGAUCUACCGGGUCAAACCUCCAGGCGAGUGAUUUCUAGUAGUGACGGAGAACAAGGGCAAGGUAACCCUGCCCUGACAGUAGUCACUAACUCUGACGAAGGCUGGGAGUCAGCGCCACGCCGUACUCCUAGAGGUAAUGCGGGGCAAAUUAUAUUCUGUAAUUGUCGUGUUCCGCCUCAACCCUUUGUGUUGAACUUACUAUCGUCGGGCCGACGACACAAAAAGGGGGGGUGGAUUGUAGCAGGGUAGCUUGUGCUUUCCCUGUUUCCCUCUGGCAGCUGCCAGAUUGGAGGUGGGUACGUUAAUGAAGGGGGCGGCCCCUACAUUUAGUAUAUUUAUACGGCUAGAUAUCAGCUGACAGUGCGUCUUCCGUUCUCCCAUUGUCGCUGGAGGAGCUAGCUUCCGUGUUUGGGUGGCUUGCGGGCAGUUUGGUUUGGCCUUGCUGGAGCUAGGUUUACUGCUUGGGUUUCUUGCAUCGUUCUACUACAAGAGCGCAUCUUCGCUUGGCAGUGGACUGUUUGCACGUCCAGCCUUGAGCGUUUAUUCACUGGAAUCGUGCUAUUAAGCACUGUUCAGUAGCCCUUCCUGUCAUGUUCUUGGAUUAGCUGUGCUUCCAGGUAUGUAGCCUACUCUUAAUUUCAGUUUCUGCAUUUAGAGGUAUUUGGCUUGUAUUAAUUCUCCUCUGUGAUUUCAGACAGUGAAGUUUAGCUGAAGCCUGUGCGGUGCUCCAGAUUGUGGCUG
This is a long non-coding RNA of Alosa sapidissima (American shad), 1824 nucleotides long. RefSeq lists it as uncharacterized. The transcript has 3 exons. The record is from RefSeq and is a predicted model, not a curated record. NCBI's taxonomy places the organism in Eukaryota, Metazoa, Chordata, Actinopteri, Clupeiformes, Clupeidae.